GGACACACUAAUUUAGUUGUGUUGUUAUGAUCUGCAGGAAAUACUAAAAACUUGAGACACAAUAAUAGGGCCUCCUAAAUCUAAUUAAUCUAAUUUACUUCAUGUUUUUGGGUUUAACUUUAAAAUUAUUAUAUAUCAAAAUAUUAUUAAUUAAUCAUGAAAUUAAAAUAUUAUAAAUCUCAAUGAACAUAUUUAUUGUAUGACAUUAAUAAAAUAUAAAAUUAUAAAACUUAUAAAAAAAAAUUACUGGCUAAAAAAAUUUACUUGCCAUACCAUUUAUGAAAGAAUUUUUUAUGAUUAAAAAUUUUUUAUGAAAGAAAAAAAAGAAAUAAAAUUUAUCAUGAAAGAAAUAAAAAAAUAAAAAUCUCUCUGUUACUUGCUCUCUCUCUCUCUCUCUCU
RNAcentral lists this unclassified non-coding RNA (399 nucleotides) under Hevea brasiliensis (rubber tree). Lineage: Eukaryota; Viridiplantae; Streptophyta; Magnoliopsida; Malpighiales; Euphorbiaceae. The record is from RNAcentral.